UCCUGCCCAGUGACAUAGUUCAACGGCCGCGGUAUCCUAACCGUGCAAAGGUAGCAUAAUCACUUGCCCAUUAAUUGUGGGCUAGAAUGAAUGGAUAAACGAAAUAAAAACUGUCUCUAUAAGUUUCAUAAAAAUUAAUCUCUAACUGAAGAGUGUUAGAUAUCAUCGAAGGACAAGAAGACCCUAUAGAGCUUUAUUUUUAACAAGGUUAAUAACUUAUAAUAAAUUCGGUUGGGGCGACCUAGGAUAUAUAGAACAUCCUACACAUUAAAGAUAAAUAAAUCUAAAAAGACCCUUAAUAAAGAGCAAUAAAACAAGCUACCUUAGGGAUAACAGGCUAAUCCUGCUAAAGAGUUCUUAUCAACAGCAGGGGUUGGCACCUCGAUGUUGGCUUAGGGAAACUAUGUGGCGCAAAAGCCACAUAAAGAUGGUUUGUUCAACCAAUAAAACCCUACAUGAGCUGAGUUCAGACCGGCGUAAGCCAGGUUAGUUUCUAUCCUCGACAAAACACCUAUCUAUAGUACGAAAGGACCUAGAUAAGAAUAAUCAUUAUAUAUAAAGAAUAAGUAUAAAAAUCAAAUAAAAUAAUAAAUAGUAUAUACUAUACAGUGAGUUGGCAGAAUAGUGCAAUCGACUUAGGAUCGAUAUAUGGGCUAGCCCACCCACUACCUGCAACUUAGUUUAUUUAGAACAGUCAACUUGCACUUGAUAAGAGAGAUUUCUCAGUAGCGGCUUGACGUUUUGGAAACAAUAGACCUUGAACGUCUAUAAAGGAUGUUCAACUCAUC
Molecule: ribosomal RNA, 788 nt
Filed under: Hormogaster samnitica
Lineage: Eukaryota; Metazoa; Annelida; Clitellata; Crassiclitellata; Hormogastridae
Description: partial 16S ribosomal RNA
Rfam family: Bacterial large subunit ribosomal RNA (bases 1-519)
Source: RNAcentral